GACGAACGCUGGCGGCGUGCUUAACACAUGCAAGUCGAACGGUGAAGCGCCUUCCUUUUUGGUGGGUGUGGAUGAGUGGCGAACGGGUGUGUAACACGUGAGUAACCUGCCCCCUUCUUCUGGAUAACCGCAUGAAAGUGUGGCUAAUACGGGAUAUUCUGGGUCUGUCGCAUGAUGGGUCUGGGAAAGAUAUUGUUUCGGUGGGGGAUGGGCUCGCGGCCUAUCAGCUUGUUGGUGGGGUGAUGGCCUACCAAGGCGGUGACGGGUAGCCGGCCUGAGAGGGUGGACGGUCUCACUGGGGCUGAGACACGGCCCAGACUCCUACGGGAGGCAGUAGUGGGGAAUAUUGCACGAUGGGGGGAAGCCUGAUGCAGCGACGCCGCGUGGGGGAUGGAGGCCUUCGGGUUGUGAACCUCUUUCGCCAGUGAAGCAGGCCUGCCUCGUUUGUGGGUGGGUUGACGGUAGCUGGAUAAGAAGCGCCGGCUAACUACGUG
Molecule: ribosomal RNA, 494 nt
Filed under: uncultured bacterium
Lineage: Bacteria
Description: partial 16S ribosomal RNA
Rfam family: Bacterial small subunit ribosomal RNA
Source: RNAcentral